CAACGCCGCGUGAGUGAUGAAGGUUUUCGGAUCGUAAAACUCUGUUGCAGGGAAGAACAAGUGCGAGAGUAACUGCUCGCACCUUGACGGUACCUGACCAGAAAGCCACGGCUAACUACGUGCCAGCAGCCGCGGUAAUACGUAGGUGGCAAGCGUUGUCCGGAAUUAUUGGGCGUAAAGCGCGCGCAGGCGGUUUCUUAAGUCUGAUGUGAAAGCCCCCGGCUCAACCGGGGAGGGUCAUUGGAAACUGGGAAACUUGAGUGCAGAAGAGGAGAGUGGAAUUCCACGUGUAGCGGUGAAAUGCGUAGAGAUGUGGAGGAACACCAGUGGCGAAGGCGACUCUCUGGUCUGUAACUGACGCUGAGGCGCGAAAGCGUGGGGAGCGAACAGGAUUAGAUACCCUGGUAGUCCACGCCGUAAACGAUGAGUGCUAAGUGUUAGAGGGUUUCCGCCCUUUAGUGCUGCAGCUAACGCAUUAAGCACUCCGCCUGGGGAGUACGGUCGCAAGACUGAAACUCAAAGGAAUUGACGGGGGCCCGCACAAGCGGUGGAGCAUGUGGUUUAAUUCGAAGCAACGCGAAGAACCUUACCAGGUCUUGACAUCCUUUGCCACUUCUAGAGAUAGAAGGUUCCCCUUCGGGGGACAAAGUGACAGGUGGUGCAUGGUUGUCGUCAGCUCGUGUCGUGAGAUGUUGGGUUAAGUCCCGCAACGAGCGCAACCCUUGAUCUUAGUUGCCAGCAUUCAGUUGGGCACUCUAAGGUGACUGCCGGUGACAAACCGGAGGAAGGUGGGGAUGACGUCAAAUCAUCAUGCCCCUUAUGACCUGGGCUACACACGUGCUACAAUGGAUGGUACAAAGGGCUGCGAGACCGCGAGGUUUAGCCAAUCCCAUAAAACCAUUCUCAGUUCGGAUUGCAGGCUGCAACUCGCCUGCAUGAAGCUGGAAUCGCUAGUAAUCGCGGAUCAGCAUGCCGCGGUGAAUACGUUCCCGGGSCU
This 997-nucleotide ribosomal RNA is filed under the name Bacillus sp. (in: firmicutes). Its description in RNAcentral is "bacterial SSU rRNA". It matches the Rfam family "Bacterial small subunit ribosomal RNA", at positions 392 to 1381 of the family's 1533-position model. Lineage: Bacteria; Bacillati; Bacillota; Bacilli; Caryophanales; Bacillaceae. The record is from RNAcentral.